UACGUAGGGUGCAAGCGUUGUCCGGAAUUAUUGGGCGUAAAGAGCUCGUAGGCGGUCUGUUGCGUCGGCUGUGAAAACCCGGGGCUCAACUCCGGGCCUGCAGCCGAUACGGGCAGACUAGAGUUCGGCAGGGGAGACUGGAAUUCCUGGUGUAGCGGUGAAAUGCGCAGAUAUCAGGAGGAACACCGGUGGCGAAGGCGGGUCUCGUGGGCCGAUACUGACGCUGAGGAGCGAAAGCGUGGGGAGCGAACAGG
This 254-nucleotide ribosomal RNA is filed under the name uncultured bacterium. Its description in RNAcentral is "partial 16S ribosomal RNA". It matches the Rfam family "Bacterial small subunit ribosomal RNA", at positions 524 to 776 of the family's 1533-position model. The record is from RNAcentral.